Molecule: ribosomal RNA, 253 nt
Filed under: uncultured bacterium
Lineage: Bacteria
Description: partial 16S ribosomal RNA
Rfam family: Bacterial small subunit ribosomal RNA
Source: RNAcentral
UACGGGGGGAGCAAGCGUUGUUCGGAUUUACUGGGCGUAAAGGGCGCGUAGGCGGCGCAACAAGUCACUUGUGAAAUCUCCGGGCUUAACCCGGAGCGGUCAAGUGAUACUGUCGUGCUAGAGUGCGGAAGGGGCUACUGGAAUUCUCGGUGUAGCGGUGAAAUGCGUAGUUAUCGAGAGGAACACCUGCGGCGAAGGCGGGUAGCUGGGCCGACACUGACGCUGAUGCGCGAAAGCCAGGGGAGCGAACGGG